GACGAACGCUGGCGGCGUGCCUAACACAUGCAAGUCGAACGGGACCGGGGGCAACUUCGGUUCAGUGGCGGACGGGUGCGUAACACGUGAGGAACAUGACCUUGCGGGGGAGUAGCCGGCCCAACGGCCGGGUAAUACCGCGUACGACCUUUCGGGGACGAUCCCUGGACGGUGAAAGCAGCAAUGCGCCGAUGGAGUGCCUCGCGGCCUAUCAGCUAGUUGGUGGGGUAACGGCUCACCAAGGCAACGACGGGAGCUGGUCUGAGAGGAUGGCCAGCCACAUUGGGACUGAGACACGGCCCAGACUCCUACGGGAGGCAGCAGUGGGGAAUAUUGCGCAAUGGACGAAAGUCUGACGCAGCGACGCCGCGUGUGGGAUGACGGUCUUCGGAUUGUAAACCACUGUCGGGAGGGACGAAUACGCCGCAAGGCGGU
This 435-nucleotide ribosomal RNA is filed under the name uncultured bacterium. RNAcentral describes it as "bacterial SSU rRNA". It matches the Rfam family "Bacterial small subunit ribosomal RNA", at positions 28 to 470 of the family's 1533-position model. The record is from RNAcentral.